GCCCGGGUAGCUCAGUGGCAGAGCAGCCGCCUUGUAAGCGGCAGGUCGGGGGUUCAAAUCCCUUCCCGGGCU
This 72-nucleotide transfer RNA is filed under the name Rubrobacter sp. RNAcentral's name for it is "tRNA-Thr". It matches the Rfam family "tRNA". From Rfam's summary of the family: Transfer RNA (tRNA) molecules are approximately 80 nucleotides in length. Their secondary structure includes four short double-helical elements and three loops (D, anti-codon, and T loops). Further hydrogen bonds mediate the characteristic L-shaped molecular structure. tRNAs have two regions of fundamental functional importance: the anti-codon, which is responsible for specific mRNA codon recognition, and the 3' end, to which the tRNAs corresponding amino acid is attached (by aminoacyl-tRNA synthetases). tRNAs cope with the degeneracy of the genetic code in two manners: having more than one tRNA (with a specific anti-codon) for a particular amino acid; and 'wobble' base-pairing, i.e. permitting non-standard base-pairing at the 3rd anti-codon position. Lineage: Bacteria; Bacillati; Actinomycetota; Rubrobacteria; Rubrobacterales; Rubrobacteraceae. The record is from RNAcentral.